GGACCCGCACAAGCGGUGGAACAUGUGGUUUAAUUCGAUGAUACGCGAAGAACCUUACCUGGGUUUGACAUGUUAGUGAAAGUUUUCUGAAAAGAAAUCCCUUUAAAAGCUUGCUUUUAAACACUAUCACAGGUGAUGCAUGGCUGUCGUCAGCUCGUGUCGUGAGAUGUUAGGUUAAGUCCUGCAACGAGCGCAACCCCUAUAUUUAGUUGCCAGCACAUAAUGGUGGGGACUCUAAAUAGACUGCCCGGAAUAACCGGGAGGAAGGUGGGGAUGAUGUCAAGUCAGUAUGUCCCUUAUACCCAGGGCUACACACGUGUUACAAUGGACAGUACAGAAAGUUGCAAUUCCGCGAGGAGGAGCCAAUCUUUAAAACUGUCCCCAGUUCAGAUUGAAGUCUGAAAUUCGACUUCAUGAAGCAGGAAUCGCUAGUAA
Molecule: ribosomal RNA, 435 nt
Filed under: uncultured bacterium
Lineage: Bacteria
Description: bacterial SSU rRNA
Rfam family: Bacterial small subunit ribosomal RNA
Source: RNAcentral